This 253-nucleotide ribosomal RNA is filed under the name uncultured bacterium. RNAcentral describes it as "partial 16S ribosomal RNA". It matches the Rfam family "Bacterial small subunit ribosomal RNA", at positions 524 to 776 of the family's 1533-position model. The record is from RNAcentral.
UACGUAGGGAGCAAGCGUUGUCCGGAAUCAUUGGGCGUAAAGCGCGCGUAGGCGGCCCCGUAAGUCCGCUGUGAAAGUCAAAGGCUCAACCUUUGAAAGCCGGUGGAUACUGUGGGGCUAGAGUCCGGAAGAGGCGAGUGGAAUUCCUGGUGUAGCGGUGGAAUGCACAGAUAUCAGGAGGAACACCGAUGGCGAAGGCAGGUCUCUGGGCUGACACUGACGCUCAUGCACGAAAGCGUGGGGAGCAAACAGG